Molecule: ribosomal RNA, 409 nt
Filed under: uncultured bacterium
Lineage: Bacteria
Description: bacterial SSU rRNA
Rfam family: Bacterial small subunit ribosomal RNA
Source: RNAcentral
CAGCAGCCGCGGUAAUACGUAGGGGGCUAGCGUUGUCCGGAAUCAUUGGGCGUAAAGCGCGCGUAGGCGGCCCGGUAAGUUCGCUGUGAAAGUCCAGGGCUCAACCCUGGAAUGCCGGUGGAUACUGUCGGGCUAGAGUCCGGAAGAGGCGAGUGGAAUUCCUGGUGUAGCGGUGGAAUGCGCAGAUAUCAGGAGGAACACCAAUAGCGAAGGCAGCUCGCUGGGACGGUACUGACGCUGAGGCGCGAAAGCGUGGGGAGCGAACAGGAUUAGAUACCCUGGUAGUCCACGCCGUAAACGAUGGGCACUAGGUGUGGGAGGUGUCGACUCCUCCCGUGCCGACGCUAACGCAUUAAGUGCCCCGCCUGGGGAGUACGGCCGCAAGGCUAAAACUCAAAGGAAUUGACGG